This 210-nucleotide ribosomal RNA is filed under the name uncultured bacterium. Its description in RNAcentral is "partial 16S ribosomal RNA". It matches the Rfam family "Bacterial small subunit ribosomal RNA", at positions 1289 to 1500 of the family's 1533-position model. The record is from RNAcentral.
CAGUUCGGAUUGUAGUCUGCAACUCGACUACAUGAAGCUGGAAUCGCUAGUAAUCGCGAAUCAGCAUGUCGCGGUGAAUACGUUCCCGGGUCUUGUACACACCGCCCGUCACACCAUGGGAGUUGGUAACGCCCGAAGCCAGUGAGCCAACAAACGAGGCAGCAGUCGAAGGUAGAAUCAAUGAUUGGGGUGAAGUCGUAACAAGGUACC